RNAcentral lists this transfer RNA (76 nucleotides) under Chromobacterium haemolyticum. RNAcentral describes it as "tRNA-Thr". It matches the Rfam family "tRNA". From Rfam's summary of the family: Transfer RNA (tRNA) molecules are approximately 80 nucleotides in length. Their secondary structure includes four short double-helical elements and three loops (D, anti-codon, and T loops). Further hydrogen bonds mediate the characteristic L-shaped molecular structure. tRNAs have two regions of fundamental functional importance: the anti-codon, which is responsible for specific mRNA codon recognition, and the 3' end, to which the tRNAs corresponding amino acid is attached (by aminoacyl-tRNA synthetases). tRNAs cope with the degeneracy of the genetic code in two manners: having more than one tRNA (with a specific anti-codon) for a particular amino acid; and 'wobble' base-pairing, i.e. permitting non-standard base-pairing at the 3rd anti-codon position. Lineage: Bacteria; Pseudomonadati; Pseudomonadota; Betaproteobacteria; Neisseriales; Chromobacteriaceae. The record is from RNAcentral.
GCUGGAUUAGCUCAGUAGGUAGAGCGGCUGUUUUGUAAACAGCGGGCCGCGGGUUCGAUCCCUGCAUCCAGCACCA